GACGAACGCUGGCGGCGUGCUUAGCACAUGCAAGUCGAACGAAGAGCGAUGGAAGCUUGCUUCUAUCAAUCUUAGUGGCGAACGGGUGAGUAACGCGUAAUCAACCUGCCCUUCAGAGGGGGACAACAGUUGGAAACGACUGCUAAUACCGCAUACGAUCUAAUCUCGGCAUCGAGGAUAGAUGAAAGGUGGCCUCUACAUGUAAGCUAUCACUGAAGGAGGGGAUUGUGUCUGAUUAGCUAGUUGGAGGGGUAACGGCCCACCAAGGCGAUGAUCAGUAGCCGGUCUGAGAGGAUGAACGGCCACAUUGGGACUGAGACACGGCCCAGACUCCUACGGGAGGCAGCAGUGGGGAAUCUUCCGCAAUGGACGAAAGUCUGACGGAGCAACGCCGCGUGAGUGAUGACGGCCUUCGGGUUGUAAAGCUCUGUUAAUCGGGACGAAAGGCCUUCUUGCGAAUAGUGAGAAGGAUUGACGGUACCGGAAUAGAAAGCCACGGCUAACUACGUG
RNAcentral lists this ribosomal RNA (510 nucleotides) under uncultured bacterium. RNAcentral describes it as "partial 16S ribosomal RNA". It matches the Rfam family "Bacterial small subunit ribosomal RNA", at positions 28 to 507 of the family's 1533-position model. The record is from RNAcentral.